This 224-nucleotide long non-coding RNA is filed under the name Elaeis guineensis (African oil palm). RNAcentral's name for it is "long non-coding RNA (EGUI_LNC023403)". The record is from RNAcentral. Lineage: Eukaryota; Viridiplantae; Streptophyta; Magnoliopsida; Arecales; Arecaceae.
CGAUCUUGAAUGAAUUGAUCACUGUCCUCCGUGAUGAUCUUUCGAUCGGGAGUAUUUAGAAAUUAACCACUAAUAAUGUAUGUCUCAAAUUCUCAAUACCUUAAGAAUAUAUAAAAUCAUCUUUGUUAAUUUUUUGAAAAAAUCAUGGACACAUAAGACAUGAUUGGUUAUCAAGACUGCCCAUCAAGUACAAAAUAUACCCUAGAGAAAGGUACCUGUCAGUU